GGCUUGGGGGAGAAAAGGAUAGUUUUGUCUCCUUUUUGUAUCCAGCAUAAUGCACAAUGCAUUUUUGUCUAUCUCUUAGUAGCUGUUGCUUACAAAUAUAGUUAAAAGGGUGUUAUACAAACUGUAAAGGUGUGCUUUUGAAAUGAGUUAAUGCCAGACCCUUCUGGACCAGAGUUUUGUAUCACUGAUUAAAAACUGUUACAGAGCCUGUGGUCAAUCAGACUGUAUGCUAUUUUUUGGGAAGGAUUGGAAUAAUCAGUCUAUCUACAAUGUUUCUAGGGCACCUACCUCCUCAGCAUGCAAGUGCUGAAAAUGCUACGGAUUGUUUCUGUGUAAUUGUGGGUUUGUUUGUACGAAACGUGCAGUUCACUGUGACAUGCACUGGGACAGAAUAGGUCUGUUUGCUUAAAGCUGAUCAACAAUUACUUCCACCAGUGUCAGUCCCUCGUAGUUAUGUUUAGUACCCAUUUAUGUAUUGCUGAUUCUAGAUGCAGAUUUUACAGUAUUUGUUGUUGUCUCUAAUUUGGGUACUUGAUCAGAAGUGAAGGUACAACCAAGUAGCUGAAUUAAUUUUAAGUUGGAAUGCUGAUUUUUUUUUUACACUACUCAGUUUGCCUUAUUCCAUUACGGAGAUUGUUGGGGGUUUUUUUAAUUCUUUUGCAUAAUGUUCCUAAAACCCUGUUCUGUAAACUGAGUUAGACAACAAAACCAUAGACUUGACAUGCAACUAUUACUUAGUCAUGCUCCAAGUGGCCUUCCUUCUGCCUGGCCUGCUGUAGCACUGACUUCUCACCAUCUCGACCCCGCUGCUGAUCACAGCAGGGGAGGGCACACUAGAGCUCUGACCUCAGAUACACUAUAAAAUCAAGGCAGGCGAAUCCAUUUGCACACCUGGCGUUUGUAUACGGACCUCUUUACUUGUCUUCAACUGUGCGGGUUUUUAAAGUUGUUGUCUGGAGUAGGUUACAUCUCUUAUGUGUGUUAGAUCGAACCAAAGAAGCCUCCAGCCAUGCCCAAAUGCUGCUCCUAAAGCCUGCCUUCCAGUCCUUACUAAAGCCCUGCAGGAUUAAAUGUGUUAACUUUUUUAUUUUUGUACAGUUUCUAACUGAUUUUUGCUAGUGAUGUUAAUGGAAUUACGUUUCUUUGGGGAGGCUGAAUAGCUCCUCCAUUGAAAUAAACUGGUGACUUUCCUUUUAUGUUAAAAAAAGAACAAAAAAAAGUUUAAAAAAAAAAAUAAAAAAA
This 1242-nucleotide long non-coding RNA is filed under the name Strigops habroptila (Kakapo). Its description in RNAcentral is "lncRNA (ENSSHBG00005008238.1)". Lineage: Eukaryota; Metazoa; Chordata; Aves; Psittaciformes; Psittacidae. The record is from RNAcentral.